GGCUGAGCAAACAGCAGGCUUCACCCCCCAGCCCAGGAACCCGGAGCCUCUCAGGCCCUGUGUCUAGGCAAUGAGCGCCUUCCUACUCCGGACCCCCAGCCCCGGCCACGACCCGCACCCAGCCGAGCCGCCUGGCUUCCUCCAGCCCAGCCUCCUGCCCUGAGAAAUGGAAGCCAAGGACACAGCUGUUCCAGGCACCCUUCCCAAAGCGACUCCGGUCGGUCAGCCGACUGAGAAGGUCCCACGUGCCAGGUUGGAUGGGGAGGGGCUGCAGAGAUGCACGUGGUGGCCCAUGUCCUGGUCGGAGGUGACUCUCACACUCUCUUAAGGGAGAGGCUUAGGAAUUUGGGGGUGUUAUUCCCGUCGAGUCUGUAGUGGACACCAAUGGUUUUCAACGUAUUUAUUUUUUCUUUUUCUGCCUCAGGUUACCUGAUGGGUAGGAUCCUCUCCCAGCGUAAUAGGGCGUCAAAAGGGCAAGACUGUGGGGCGUGGGGGUGGGGAGAUGAUCAGAAUCUCUGAGGGGGCAACUGGAGUUUGAUAAACGUCCCUCCCCAUGCCCCCAAGCCUGGGAAUCUGGUAGAGCUUCCUACGGGACAGGGCAUGGCUUCCACCAGGAGGAGCCACUGAAGGAUUUUGAGCAGGGGAGGAACAGAGAACAAUCUAUAAUGUAGCACCUCUCCCGCCCCGAAGUGGGAGGGUUGCUGGGGGACACUGAGGGAGGCGUCAAGGACCCCCUGCAGCCCCGGGGGGCAGUGAGGAGAGGGAAGGAAGCAGGUCAACAGAACCGAGUUCCGAUCCUGCCUCAGUUCCUCCUCCCUCCUCUGUAGGAAUCAGACUGCCGCCCUUCCUCUCACAGAUGUAAGCUUACCAACAUCGGUACGAGGCCGCCUUCGGGGUCAGGUGUGUGCUGCGACUUUGACACAGGUUUUCUCACUCAACGCAACAGUCAGGCACUAGGGUUAUCCCCACUUUACAGAUGUGAAACUGAGGAUCAGCACGUCGGUUGUCUUGGCCAACAAAAACCAGUACUCCGUGAUUGGAGCCCGUCUGUCCAUGGCCCGUGCUCCCUCCUACACCACUUUCUUGAAAUGAGAUUUUUAAAACAGCCCUGGUUCCUGCUCAUUUCCUGUUAGGAGCAGCUUUGCGUUAGAAAGAGUAGCUUUGGCCCGUGUCCCACCACAAGGGACCCCAAUCCUGCCCCUCUGGUCUAACACCUGUCAUCGCUCCUGACACCCGUGUCAGAGAGGAAAACCAAAGAACCCACCGCAGUUACGGUAAUACCCCAAGACGGCCAUCACCAUGCCUUCCGCACUCAGCAGGGAGAGAGAGGCAGUGAGCUCAUUGCCAUGGUGUUGAGCUAGGGCUGAGGCUGUUCUCCUCUGGGUCCGCUGGCCCCGUAGCUCUGCGGGAGGGUUGGGGCAGCAACCCACCAGGUGGAAGAGAUGGUGCUACUUCCCUUCUGGACGAGACUGACGCAUGCAGAGUGGGGCAGGGCAAGCCUUCCUCUCCAGGAUGGCAGCGGGGCUGGGAGGGUGCCCUCGUCACAGCCACCAGGUGGCCCUGUUCUGUGCCCCUUAAGAUGGCCCCCACUAAGCCUCGACUCCCGGUAUUCACACCCCUGUGUAGUCCUCCCUACAAUGAACGGGGCUGACCUAUGUGAACAGCAGGAUAUAGCAAAAGUGGCAGGCGAUGACUUCUGAGGCCAGGUCAUAACGGGAUCAUUCUCUCUGGGGGAAGUCAGCUGCCAUGUCACGAGGACACUCCAGCAGCCCCAGGGAGAAGCCCACGGAGCAAGGAACUGAGGCCUCCUGCCAACAGCCAGCACCAAUUUUUCAUUCGUGUGAGUGAGCCAGCAUGGAUGCAGAUGCUCCAGCCUCCGUCAAGCCUUCAGAUGAGCCUGCUGCUCAGAUUUCUGUUCAGGUGUCACCUCCUCCAAGAAGUCCUCUUGAACACUCCAGAGCUAAUCACUCCGUCCUCGAUGCUGUUGCUGAACCUUCCACGCACCCGUUUGUAGAGUGGUUAUAAACAUGGUCCUGAAUCAAAAAUGGGCUCCCAGACCUGCCACUCACCACCGGUAGGAUCUUGGCAAAGCGGCACCUCACUGUCCACAUCUGUAAAAUGCAGACGAUUCCUACCUCAGCACUAGAGGGAGGGUCAAAUGAGACCGAGUCUGUGGACGCUGUGAAUUCCAUCCUGACUCGGGAUCCAUCUCAUAGACGGGCCCCUGGAGACCAGGCUGUAUGGGGAGCGAGGCCGGCACUGAGCAGAGGGGCUUGGGGAGGGAACUGACAUACCUGGAGCACCUGCCUGUGCCAGGCGCUGGGCUAGACUCUGUAUCUCUAUGACUUAACCUAAUCUUUGCAACAAGAGCUGAGCAUCCUCAGCCACCUUUUCACACAUUUAGAAAGUGAAGCUCAGGAAGUUCAUGGCUUGCCUAGUGUCACACCGGGGAUGGAGGCGGGAUCUGAACCCCUUGUCUGUUGAACUCCAAAGGCUUCCAGCUCUGGCACUGAGUCUGUGCAGACCCAGCUGGGAGGUCCUGGGCCCAGGACAGUUCUCCAGUCCUCAGGAGGGCAGCAAAGUGAGGGUUAGUCAGCCUGGCCCAUGGUGGACUAUCCCCUCCUUUGUAUUGGGUGAUAGACUUCUAGUAAUACAACCCAAGAAGACCAUGGCUUUGCGGUUUCCUCUUCCCAGUUGUGGAAUCAGUUCAAUCCUGCUUACCUCCAGGUCAAAACAGGACACCUUCCCCCACCCUGAGCCCACCCUGCACAUCAUACCUUGAAAUUAACUUGCAAUUGCUGUGAGCUCUGAUUCACCCCCAACCUCCAACUGGCGCCAACAUAAGGAUUGCAUGAGCCAACAGCUCAUGGCUCAUGGUGCUGGAUGAAGGGUGUGGAGCGGGGUGAGGGUGCUGUUCCCUUUCUGGGGGGUAAUUUCCUUUUGUUGCUCAGCUCAGCUCAGCAGCCACCCGCCUCCACCCUCCCUGGCUAAUUAGUCGCCUGAUUUCCAUCAGCCUGAUUAGGUCCAUUUGAGCCACCACCCCACCCUGAGCAGCAGGAAGUUGACUCCAGUUAAGAGAGGAAGCGGCUGACUUAGGGAAGUGGAGGGGGU
Molecule: long non-coding RNA, 3111 nt
Filed under: Equus caballus (horse)
Lineage: Eukaryota; Metazoa; Chordata; Mammalia; Perissodactyla; Equidae
Description: lncRNA (ENSECAG00000048509.1)
Source: RNAcentral